This 253-nucleotide ribosomal RNA is filed under the name uncultured bacterium. RNAcentral describes it as "partial 16S ribosomal RNA". It matches the Rfam family "Bacterial small subunit ribosomal RNA", at positions 524 to 776 of the family's 1533-position model. The record is from RNAcentral.
UACGGAGGGAGCUAGCGUUGUUCGGAUAUACUGGGCGUAAAGCGCACGUAGGCGGCUUUGUAAGUUAGAGGUGAAAGCCUGGAGCUCAACUCCAGAAUUGCCUUUAAGACUGCAUCGCUUGAAUCCAGGAGAGGUGAGUGGAAUUCCGAGUGUAGAGGUGAAAUUCGUAGAUAUUCGGAAGAACACCAGUGGCGAAGGCGGCUCACUGGACUGGUAUUGACGCUGAGGUGCGAAAGCGUGGGGAGCAAACAGG